RNAcentral lists this ribosomal RNA (370 nucleotides) under uncultured organism. Its description in RNAcentral is "bacterial SSU rRNA". It matches the Rfam family "Bacterial small subunit ribosomal RNA", at positions 526 to 896 of the family's 1533-position model. The record is from RNAcentral.
CGUAGGGUGCGAGCGUUAAUCGGAAUUACUGGGCGUAAAGCGUGCGCAGGCGGUUUUGUAAGACAGAUGUGAAAUCCCCGGGCUCAACCUGGGGCCUGCAUUUGUGACUGCAAGGCUAGAGUACGGUAGAGGGGGAUGGAAUUCCGCGUGUAGCAGUGAAAUGCGUAGAUAUGCGGAGGAACACCGAUGGCGAAGGCAAUCCCCUGGACCUGUACUGACGCUCAUGCACGAAAGCGUGGGGAGCAAACAGGAUUAGAUACCCUGGUAGUCCACGCCCUAAACGAUGUCAACUGGUUGUUGGGUCUUUACUGACACAGUAACGAAGCUAACGCGUGAAGUUGACCGCCUGGGGAGUACGGCCGCAAGGUUG